UAAGGAAUAUUGGUCAAUGGACGCAAGUCUGAACCAGCCAUGCCGCGUGGAGGAUGAAGGUCCUCUGGAUUGUAAACUUCUUUUAUCUGGGACGAAAAAAGGUUUUUCUAGACCGACUGACGGUACCAGAUGAAUAAGCACCGGCUAACUCCGUGCCAGCAGCCGCGGUAAUACGGAGGGUGCAAGCGUUAUCCGGAUUCACUGGGUUUAAAGGGUGCGUAGGUGGAUUGGUAAGUCCGUGGUGAAAUCUCUGAGCUUAACUCAGAAACUGCCAUGGAUACUAUCAGUCUUGAAUACCGUGGAGGUCAGCGGAAUAUGUCAUGUAGCGGUGAAAUGCUUAGAUAUGACAUAGAACACCAAUUGCGAAGGCAGCUGGCUACACGAGCAUUGACACUCAGGCACGAAAGCGUGGGGAUCAAACAGG
RNAcentral lists this ribosomal RNA (424 nucleotides) under uncultured bacterium. RNAcentral's name for it is "bacterial SSU rRNA". It matches the Rfam family "Bacterial small subunit ribosomal RNA", at positions 355 to 776 of the family's 1533-position model. The record is from RNAcentral.